Molecule: long non-coding RNA, 746 nt
Filed under: Homo sapiens (human)
Lineage: Eukaryota; Metazoa; Chordata; Mammalia; Primates; Hominidae
Description: HSALNT0205218
Source: RNAcentral
GUUCACACAGCCUCAGCCUGGGCUCUAGAAUCUCUGCGGAUGCCUACCAUAAUUCAAUAAAGGGGCUCACUAGGAAAAGCCAAGAUGUGCCUUCUAGUGAAGGGCAGAAGGUAGAUUGCAGGCAGAGGAAAUCUGGUUCUAAAGUACAUAGCAGAGCUUGUCUGCAGGUACAUGGAACUGGACACUAAGACUUCUUGUCCAAAUCUUAAAUGGGGCACAAGAUGGCUGACAGAGAUGACGCCUGGCAAAAUAGAAUCAGGAUAUCUUCUGAUUCUAGGUCUGGAUGUUUGCUGGUAUACAAGCAUGGAGCUGCUAUUCAUGUUGACCAACAGUCUUAAGCAGAAAGAAAUAGCUUCUGGAAAAAUAACUAUAAUAUUGGCACAUUUCAGCAUCUCAAAGCAGAUUUUUGCAAGACGGUAAAUGACAACACAAGAUAUUUCAAUAAAAUGCCUACAUGUUGAAAGACCCUCCAACGGAAAAUAUACCAAGAGCAGAGCUACCUGAAAUAUAAUCUUAUUUCAUUGACAUACACUCCCUGGGAGAAAGUAAAGUCCAAAUUUUAUGUUUCUUGAAAUUAGACUUAAGCAUUAUAUCACAAUAUUUUUUCACCUUUAGAAUUAGAAAUCCAAAGAAAAGUCCUCCCUCCCACCUUAUUUUCUGUCAGUCUCAGCUGGAGGUAUGCUUGGGGUUUGGACAGUUUCAAGAAUUUUUAAUAACUGCAGAACCACCUGUCUCUUGCACUAAAA